This 253-nucleotide ribosomal RNA is filed under the name uncultured bacterium. RNAcentral's name for it is "partial 16S ribosomal RNA". It matches the Rfam family "Bacterial small subunit ribosomal RNA", at positions 524 to 776 of the family's 1533-position model. The record is from RNAcentral.
UACAGAGGAGCCAAGCGUUGUCCGGAUUGACUGGGCGUAAAGCGCACGCAGGCGGCACCGCGCGUGGGGUGUGAAAUCUGGCCGCUUAACGGCCAGGCGCCAUCCCAUACGGCGGAGCUGGAGUGAUGCAGAGGUCGAUGGAAUUGCCGGUGUAGUGGUGAAAUGCGUAGAUAUCGGGAGGAACACCAGUGGCGAAGGCGACUUCCUGGCCUGUUCUUGACGCUGAGGCGCGAAAGCUAGGGUAGCAAACGGG